This 364-nucleotide unclassified non-coding RNA is filed under the name uncultured Sordariomycetes. Its description in RNAcentral is "sequence contains ITS2". The stretch from base 1 to 154 matches the Rfam family "5.8S ribosomal RNA". The record is from RNAcentral. Lineage: Eukaryota; Fungi; Ascomycota; Sordariomycetes.
AACUUUUAGCAAUGGAUCACUAGGCUCCAGCAUCGAUGAAGAACGCAGCGAAACGCGAUAGGUAUUGUGAAUUGCAGAAUUCAGCGAAUCAUCGAAUCUUUGAACGCACAUUGCGCCCGCCGGUAUUCCGGCGGGCACGCCCGUCCGAGCGUCGCCUCAACCCUCGCGCUAUACGCGCGGUGUUGGGGGCUCAGCCUCGCGGCUGACCCCCGAAAUACCUCGGCGCCGACGCCGCGCACCCUCAGCGUAUUAACUUACCGCUGGCGGGUCGCGGCGCGCGGCCGCCUCGCACUACCCUACACGGAACGACCUCGGAUCGGGCGGGGACACCCGCUGAACUUAAGCAUAUCAAUAAGCGGAGGCU